GAAACAUCUUAGUACCCGGAGGAAGAGAAAGAAAAUUCGAUUCCCUUAGUAGCGGCGAGCGAAACGGGAAGAGCCCAAACCAACAAGCUUGCUUGUUGGGGUUGUAGGACACUCUAUACGGAGUUACAAAGGACGACAUUAGACGAAUCAUCUGGAAAGAUGAAUCAAAGAAGGUAAUAAUCCUGUAGUCGAAAAUGUUGUCUCUCUUGAGUGGAUCCUGAGUACGACGGAGCACGUGAAAUUCCGUCGGAAUCUGGGAGGACCAUCUCCUAAGGCUAAAUACUCUCUAGUGACCGAUAGUGAACCAGUACCGUGAGGGAAAGGUGAAAAGCACCCCGGAAGGGGAGUGAAAUAGAACCUGAAACCGUGUGCUUACAAGUAGUCAGAGCCCGUUAAUGGGUGAUGGCGUGCCUUUUGUAGAAUGAACCGGCGAGUUACGAUUUGAUGCAAGGUUAAGCAGUAAAUGUGGAGCCGUAGCGAAAGCGAGUCUGAAUAGGGCGUUUAGUAUUUGGUCGUAGACCCGAAACCAGGUGAUCUACCCUUGGUCAGGUUGAAGUUCAGGUAACACUGAAUGGAGGACCGAACCGACUUACGUUGAAAAGUGAGCGGAUGAACUGAGGGUAGCGGAGAAAUUCCAAUCGAACCUGGAGAUAGCUGGUUCUCUCCGAAAUAGCUUUAGGGCUAGCCUCAAGUGAUGAUUAUUGGAGGUAGA
RNAcentral lists this ribosomal RNA (712 nucleotides) under Staphylococcus aureus. Its description in RNAcentral is "partial 23S ribosomal RNA". It matches the Rfam family "Bacterial large subunit ribosomal RNA", at positions 195 to 906 of the family's 2925-position model. Lineage: Bacteria; Bacillati; Bacillota; Bacilli; Caryophanales; Staphylococcaceae. The record is from RNAcentral.